UGAUUACAAAUAUCUCACAAAUUAAGUUGUGUGAGACUAUUUCACCCAAGAUAUCUUAGUUCUUAUUAAUCACAUAAAACAAUAAAAAAUGAAUGAGACUAAAUUCUGUAACUUAUUAAAUUUUACUGUUAACUAUACUCAUCUCUUUACAAAUUAAUUUUCCAGUUAGCAUUCUACUUCCUCUGUUUAUUUUAAUUGACAUCUUUCUAUUAUCACACGCUUGCCAACACAUGUUUUUAACGCUUAAUAAUUUCAAUUAUCAACAUUGUAAAAUUAUAAAAAGUGGAUAUUAAUAAAAUAUACGUAUAAACAAUUCAAAUAAGAUUCCACGUGAUUCCCUUCAAAAAAAAAAAAAAAAAGAUUUCACGUGAUUACAUUUUAUCGUAUCCAUAAAUUAUAAAAGCGAGUCAAAAUAAAGUAUAUAAAUAGUGUAAAAGUCAAACGUUGUCAACUAGAAAAACAGAGGAAUUACAUUAUUAGCGAUACAAAUAAAUUUGAGUGAAUUACCUGUUGAAGGAAUUUGAACAUUUAUAAAGACGGACCGAGGGGCACGCCUCUUUCCCUCUUUAGUCUCAACUUUAGCAUUAGUACCUUUCACCGUACAUUAUCCUCUCCACAUCAUGGAUAAAUGGCCGGGGUUUAGAGUUUCUUCAAAGAAGAAAAGGAAAAGGAGUGGAAAAAAUCGAGAAUCAGGGUUUGAGAAACGCAAAAAAAAAGUCGAUUACGUUGUAUUUACUAUCGAAAUGGACAUCAGCCGUGGGCAUGUUCGUGUCCUCCAUGCCCCCUCUCGCUACCAGAUAGCUGACAUUUUUACAAAAGGGCUGCCGCAACUCCUAUUCGAAGACUUUCGUGCCAGCCUUACGAUUGCGGGGGUGUAUUAGCAUAUGUGAAUGUGUAGUCGUAUUAAAAUUUAUGACUUUCGAAUGUUAUAUUCAAUCUAUGUGAAUGUGUAGUUGUAUUUACUAUCAUUGUGUAAUCAUUCCCUAGGUACUUUGUUUAUAUACUCCUAUGCUAAGCAAUGAGAAGUCACGGAACAUAUUCCUACACUUCUCUUGUCAUUGUUUGCUUCUUUUUUGUUGAUAAUAAUACAAUAAUACUUGAAACAA
This is a long non-coding RNA of Chenopodium quinoa (quinoa), 1106 nucleotides long. RefSeq lists it as uncharacterized. The transcript is spliced from 2 exons. Lineage: Eukaryota; Viridiplantae; Streptophyta; Magnoliopsida; Caryophyllales; Amaranthaceae. The record is from RefSeq and is a predicted model, not a curated record.